Molecule: long non-coding RNA, 1218 nt
Organism: Oncorhynchus tshawytscha (Chinook salmon)
Lineage: Eukaryota; Metazoa; Chordata; Actinopteri; Salmoniformes; Salmonidae
Source: Ensembl
GAGAUGCUGUGGGACGACCUCAAGAGAGCCGUUCACACCAGACAUCCUAAGAAUUUGAACUGAACUGAAACAGUUUUGUAAAGAGGACAUUCCUCCUGACUGUUGCGCCGGUCUGAUCUGCAACUACAGAAAACAUUUGGUUGAUGUUGUUGCUGCCAAAGGAGGGUCAACCAGUUAUUAAAUCCAAGGGUUCACCUACUUUUCCCACCCUGCACUGUGAAUGUUUACACGCUGUGUUACACAGAGACAUGAAAACGUAUCGUUUUAAGUGUGUUAUUAGUUUAAGUAGACUAUGUUUGUGAUAGGUGAGAAUUGUCUUUUAAUUGAAUGAUUAGAAUAUUCCCUCCUGAAACAUAUAAUUGUAUGGAAUUGAUUAGAAUGUUUGAAAUCAUAAUCAAUAAAUGUGUAGUCCUAGUCAGAAUUAGGGUAAAACAAUAUGUCUUUAUGGUAUUUUAAACACAGACUGUCUGAGCUUGGUGCCGACCUGACUAGAGAUUUGGGAGAGAAUGGGGAGUACGUCUCGAGGACAAGGUCACUAUCUCUGUCGGCUGGGAAGUGAGACAGACAGUGUGUGUAGCAGGACAAGGUCACUAUCUCCGUCGGCUGGGAAGUGAGACAGACAGUGUGUGUAGCAGGACAAGGUCACUAUCUCCGUCGGCUAGGUAGUGAGACAGACAGUGUAGCAGGACAAGGUCACUAUCUCUGUCGGCUGGGAAGUGAGACAGACAGUGUGUGUAGCAGGACAAGGUCACUAUCUCUGUCGGCUGGGUAGUGAGACAGACAGUGUUGCAGGACAUGUGUGUGAGUAUGUUUGUGUGUGUGUGUGUGUGUAUGUUUGUAUGUGUGUGCGUAUGUGUGUGCGUAUGUGUGUGCGUAUGUGUGUGUGUGUAUGUGUGUGUGUAUGUUUGUGCGUAUGGUUGUGUGUAUGUUUGUGCUUAUGGUUGUGCGUAUGUUUGUGUGUAUGUGUGUGUGUAUGGUUGUGUGUAUGUGUGUGUGUGUGUGUGUGUGUGUGUGUGUGUGUGUGUGUGUGUGUGUGUAUGUGUUGUGUGUGUGUGUGUGUAUUGUUGUGUGUGUGUGUGUAUGGUUGUGUGUGUGUGUGUGUGUGUGUAUGUGUGUGUGUGUAUGGUUGUGUGUGUGUGUGUGUGUGAGAAGUCAGUAUAAAUUAAUUGUUUUGUAUUCUUGACUCCAGAACGUUCCGUGAAUAAACCUUUUUGACCA